UACGGAGGGUGCAAGCGUUAUCCGGAUUCACUGGGUUUAAAGGGUGCGUAGGCGGGCAGGUAAGUCAGGGGUGAAAUCCCAGAGCUCAACUCUGGAACUGCCUUUGAUACUGGGUGUCUUGAGUAUGGAAGAGGUGAGUGGAAUUCCGAGUGUAGAGGUGAAAUUCGUAGAUAUUGGGAAGAACACCGGUGGCGAAGGCGGCCAUCUGGACCGCAACUGACGCUGAGGCGCGAAAGCGUGGGGAGCAAACAGG
RNAcentral lists this ribosomal RNA (253 nucleotides) under uncultured bacterium. RNAcentral's name for it is "partial 16S ribosomal RNA". It matches the Rfam family "Bacterial small subunit ribosomal RNA", at positions 524 to 776 of the family's 1533-position model. The record is from RNAcentral.